This 70-nucleotide transfer RNA is filed under the name Graphomya rufitibia. Its description in RNAcentral is "tRNA-Trp". It matches the Rfam family "tRNA". From Rfam's summary of the family: Transfer RNA (tRNA) molecules are approximately 80 nucleotides in length. Their secondary structure includes four short double-helical elements and three loops (D, anti-codon, and T loops). Further hydrogen bonds mediate the characteristic L-shaped molecular structure. tRNAs have two regions of fundamental functional importance: the anti-codon, which is responsible for specific mRNA codon recognition, and the 3' end, to which the tRNAs corresponding amino acid is attached (by aminoacyl-tRNA synthetases). tRNAs cope with the degeneracy of the genetic code in two manners: having more than one tRNA (with a specific anti-codon) for a particular amino acid; and 'wobble' base-pairing, i.e. permitting non-standard base-pairing at the 3rd anti-codon position. The record is from RNAcentral. Lineage: Eukaryota; Metazoa; Arthropoda; Insecta; Diptera; Muscidae.
UAAGGCUUUAAGUUAAUGAAACUAAUAGCCUUCAAAGCUAUAAAUAUAAGUGAAAUCUUUUAAGCCUUAA